RNAcentral lists this ribosomal RNA (253 nucleotides) under uncultured bacterium. RNAcentral's name for it is "partial 16S ribosomal RNA". It matches the Rfam family "Bacterial small subunit ribosomal RNA", at positions 524 to 776 of the family's 1533-position model. The record is from RNAcentral.
UACGUAGGUGGCAAGCGUUGUCCGGAAUCAUUGGGCGUAAAGAGCGUGUAGGCGGCCAGAUAAGUCCGCUGUGAAAUCUCGAGGCUCAACUUCGAGCUGUCGGUGGAAACUGUCUGGCUAGAGUCCGGAAGAGGAGAAUGGAAUUCCUGGUGUAGCGGUGAAAUGCGCAGAUAUCAGGAAGAACACCCGUGGCGAAGGCGGUUCUCUGGGGCGGUACUGACGCUGAGACGCGAAAGCGUGGGGAGCGAACAGG